RNAcentral lists this unclassified non-coding RNA (356 nucleotides) under plant metagenome. RNAcentral describes it as "partial contains small subunit ribosomal RNA, internal transcribed spacer 1, and 5.8S ribosomal RNA". The record is from RNAcentral.
UCUCCGUAGGUGAACCUGCGGAGGGAUCAUUGAAUCUAUCAUAUUGUUUACCUGCUCACCCAGUUGUUAAGUGCCCCCGCUGCUGGCCCUCACGGGACGGCUCGGGCUCUUGUUCCUGGCCUCGCCACUGGCCGACCUUCGUUGUCGGUGAAGACUUGGCAAAGGUCUUGAGGUGCGGGACCCUGCCUCUCCUCUCGGGAGAGGGGGGCGGUCUUCACGGAUCGCCUCACCCGCUGGCCGAAACCCACCCCCCACUAACCAAACACCAAAGUGAAGCUGAAGCUUUGAGGAAACCUCCCGCAAGGAAGGCGACUCACAAACCUAGACAACUCUCAACAACGGAUAUCUUGGCUCCC